RNAcentral lists this ribosomal RNA (292 nucleotides) under uncultured bacterium. RNAcentral describes it as "partial 16S ribosomal RNA". It matches the Rfam family "Bacterial small subunit ribosomal RNA", at positions 332 to 621 of the family's 1533-position model. The record is from RNAcentral.
UCGUGCCUACGGGGCGCAGCAGUGAGGAAUAUUGGUCAAUGGGCGGAAGCCUGAACCAGCCAAGUCGCGUGAGGGAUUAAGGCCCUAUGGGUCGUAAACCUCUUUUGUCAGGGAGCAAGGCCUCUCACGUGUGGGAGGUUGGAGAGUACCUGAAGAAAAAGCAUCGGCUAACUCCGUGCCAGCAGCCGCGGUAAUACGGAGGAUGCGAGCGUUAUCCGGACUUAUUGGGUUUAAAGGGUGCGUAGGCGGGACCUUAAGUCAGCGGGAAAAUUGCGGGGCUCAACGCCGUAGA